This 253-nucleotide ribosomal RNA is filed under the name uncultured bacterium. RNAcentral describes it as "partial 16S ribosomal RNA". It matches the Rfam family "Bacterial small subunit ribosomal RNA", at positions 524 to 776 of the family's 1533-position model. The record is from RNAcentral.
UACGAAGGGGGCUAGCGUUGCUCGGAAUUACUGGGCGUAAAGGGCGCGUAGGCGGACAGUUUAGUCAGAGGUGAAAGCCCAGGGCUCAACCUUGGAAUUGCCUUUGAUACUGGCUGUCUUGAGUUCGGGAGAGGUGAGUGGAAUGCCGAGUGUAGAGGUGAAAUUCGUAGAUAUUCGGCGGAACACCAGUGGCGAAGGUGACUCACUGGCCCGAUACUGACGCUGAGGCGCGAAAGCGUGGGGAGCAAACAGG